UAUGUGAGGUAUAUGGAUGAUGUUUGCCUAUAUGGAAGGGUGAGCAGCAGAGUACCAGAUUGAUAGAAAUUAUGGCAGAUGAAACACUAUGGCUUAGCUAGAGGAUGGAGCAGGUUACUGAAAAGUCGUUCCAUUUCUUAGAUGUUAAUGUUGAGAAUGAGGCUGAAGAGUAUAUCACAUGUGUAUAUAGGAACCCCUCUUACACACCUGUCAUUAUAUUAGCGUGGUCGCGUGGUAUAUAAGUUGGCUGCGUUUAGGGCCAUGGUUAAUAUAACCAUAUCACUAGAUGGCGAGAUAGAGAGGAGGAAUUUGCCUAUAUAUGUGCACAAGGAUCUAAAUAUGGAUAUAAGAAAGCUGUUAUAGAAGGGGUUAUGAGGAAAAUUAAGAGCGAUAUAGAAGCAACUACACCCAGGCAACCCCGAUGCCAGCAGGCUGAAAGUGCUUCAUUCUCCCAGGUUACAUAUUACUGAUGUACUGAUGGGGUCUUUACCAGAGCUAUAAAAGAAGAAUGGCAAAGAAGAAAGGAUGUACCCUAUUUGCGUUACUCUGUAACGACAAAGAUAUAAUAGAAAUGAAUAGGAAGACAGGGAUUUAUGAUAUCUCUGUUUAUAAUAAUGAUGAGAUGGCUAUGCAAUACUACAUUGGUAGUACGAAGAGGGGAUUGUAUACAAGGAUAAAGGAGCAUACAUGUGAAAUUCAGGCAGGGAGGCUUAACACAGCCUUAGCCCUCAAAGCCUAUGAACAUGAUCUAGUUCAGUGUUUCUCAAUUAUUGAUACUGCAGAUCAAUAAAAAUUUUAAGCUUGUAUUGUGGACCACACAAACCAAAUUGAAGAAAGUCAGGAUUUUUUUGUAAUUUGCAG
RNAcentral lists this long non-coding RNA (861 nucleotides) under Androctonus crassicauda. Lineage: Eukaryota; Metazoa; Arthropoda; Arachnida; Scorpiones; Buthidae. The record is from RNAcentral.